UGGGGUAUAUUGCACAAUGGGCGAAAGCCUGAUGCAGCGACGCCGCGUGGGGGAUGAAGGCUUUCGGGUUGUAAACCUCUUUCGCUAUCGAACAAGGCCCGCUUAGGGUGGGUUGAGGGUAGGUGGAGAAGAAGCGCCGGCUAACUACGUGCCAGCAGCCGCGGUAAUACGUAGGGCGCGAGCGUUGUCCGGUAUUAUUGGGCGUAAAGGGCUUGUAGGCGGCUUGUUGCGCCUGCUGUGAAAACGCGGGGCUUAACUUCGCGCGUGCAGUGGGUACGGGCAGGCUUGAGUGUGGUAGGGGUGACUGGAAUUCCAGGUGUAGCGGUGGAAUGCGCAGAUAUCUGGAGGAACACCGAUGGCGAAGGCAGGUCACUGGGCCAUUACUGACGCUGAGGAGCGAAAGCAUGGGUAGCGAACAGG
This 420-nucleotide ribosomal RNA is filed under the name bacterium. RNAcentral describes it as "partial 16S ribosomal RNA". It matches the Rfam family "Bacterial small subunit ribosomal RNA", at positions 355 to 776 of the family's 1533-position model. The record is from RNAcentral.